UGGGGAAUUUUGGACAAUGGGCGAAAGCCUGAUCCAGCAAUGCCGCGUGUGUGAAGAAGGCCUUCGGGUUGUAAAGCACUUUUGUCCGGAAAGAAAUCCUUGGCCCUAAUACAGUCGGGGGAUGACGGUACCGGAAGAAUAAGCACCGGCUAACUACGUGCCAGCAGCCGCGGUAAUACGUAGGGUGCAAGCGUUAAUCGGAAUUACUGGGCGUAAAGCGUGCGCAGGCGGUUUGCUAAGACCGAUGUGAAAUCCCCGGGCUCAACCUGGGAACUGCAUUGGUGACUGGCAGGCUAGAGUAUGGCAGAGGGGGGUAGAAUUCCACGUGUAGCAGUGAAAUGCGUAGAGAUGUGGAGGAAUACCGAUGGCGAAGGCAGCCCCCUGGGCCAAUACUGACGCUCAUGCACGAAAGCGUGGGGAGCAAACAGGAUUAGAUACCCUGGUAGUCCACGCCCUAAACGAUGUCAACUAGUUGUUGGGGAUUCAUUUCCUUAGUAACGUAGCUAACGCGUGAAGUUGACCGCCUGGGGAGUACGGUCGCAAGAUUAAAACUCAAAUGAAUUGAC
Molecule: ribosomal RNA, 566 nt
Filed under: uncultured bacterium
Lineage: Bacteria
Description: partial 16S ribosomal RNA
Rfam family: Bacterial small subunit ribosomal RNA
Source: RNAcentral